CACGCAGUAAACGAUGAUUACUAGGAGUUUGCGAUAGACAGUAAGCUCCCGAGCGAAAGCGUUAAGUAAUCCACCUGGGGAGUACGCCGGCAACGGUGAAACUCAAAGGAAUUGACGGGGGCCCGCACAAGCGGUGGAGCAUGUGGUUUAAUUCGAAGCAACGCGAAGAACCUUACCAGGUCUUGACAUCCCGAUGACCGCUCUAGAGAUAGAGUUUUCCCUUCGGGGACAUUGGUGACAGGUGG
RNAcentral lists this ribosomal RNA (245 nucleotides) under uncultured bacterium. RNAcentral's name for it is "partial 16S ribosomal RNA". It matches the Rfam family "Bacterial small subunit ribosomal RNA", at positions 796 to 1041 of the family's 1533-position model. The record is from RNAcentral.